This 465-nucleotide ribosomal RNA is filed under the name uncultured bacterium. Its description in RNAcentral is "partial 16S ribosomal RNA". It matches the Rfam family "Bacterial small subunit ribosomal RNA", at positions 338 to 795 of the family's 1533-position model. The record is from RNAcentral.
CCUACGGGGUGCAGCAGUAGGGAAUCUUCCACAAUGGGCGAAAGCCUGAUGGAGCAACGCCGCGUGGGUGAAGAAGGUCUUCGGAUCGUAAAACCCUGUUGUUAGAGAAGAAAGUGCGUGAGAGUAACUGUUCACGUUUCGACGGUAUCUAACCAGAAAGCCAUGGCUAACUACGUGCCAGCAGCCGCGGUAAUACGUAGGUGGCAAGCGUUAUCCGGAUUUAUUGGGCGUAAAGGGAACGCAGGCGGUCUUUUAAGUCUGAUGUGAAAGCCUUCGGCUUAACCGGAGUAGUGCAUUGGAAACUGGGAGACUGGAGUGCAGAAGAGGAGAGUGGAACUCCAUGUGUAGCGGUGAAAUGCGUAGAUAUAUGGAAGAACACCAGUGGCGAAAGCGGCUCUCUGGUCUGUAACGGACGCUGAGGUUCGAAAGCGUGGGUAGCAAACAGGAUUAGAUACCCGGGUAGUC